UGGCAGCCAUAUACAUUACUGAAAUG
This 26-nucleotide non-coding RNA is filed under the name Rattus norvegicus (Norway rat). Lineage: Eukaryota; Metazoa; Chordata; Mammalia; Rodentia; Muridae. The record is from RNAcentral.